CUACGGGGUGCUGCAGUGGGGAAUAUUGGGCAAUGGGCGCAAGCCUGACCCAGCAACGCCGCGUGAGGGAAGAAGGUUUUCGGAUUGUGAACCUCUGUCCUUGGGGACGAAGAAGUGACGGUACCCAAGGAGGAAGCUCCGGCUAACUACGUGCCAGCAGCCGCGGUAAUACGUAGGGAGCAAGCGUUGUCCGGAAUUACUGGGCGUAAAGGGUGCGUAGGCGGCAUAUUAAGUCAGGUGUGAAAUACUCGGGCUCAACCCGAGGGGUGCAUUUGAAACUGAUAAGCUUGAGUGUGAGAGAGGAAAGUGGAAUUCCUAGUGUAGCGGUGGAAUGCGUAGAUAUUAGGAGGAACACCAGUGGCGAAGGCGACUUUCUGGCUCAUAACUGACGCUGAGGCACGAAAGCGUGGGGAGCAAACAGGAUUAGAUACCCGCGUAGUC
Molecule: ribosomal RNA, 441 nt
Filed under: uncultured bacterium
Lineage: Bacteria
Description: partial 16S ribosomal RNA
Rfam family: Bacterial small subunit ribosomal RNA
Source: RNAcentral